CAUAUUAGGCAAUCCAAACCACGUGACCUCUGGUUGGCACACAAACUAACGAAGAGGUUAUGUUUGUAUCUAUUUUUCAAUGAUUUUUCAUUGUUUAUCGUCGUAUUUUGUCUAUUUUGGAUUCAUUUGUAUUUCGUUUCCUGUUUUUGUGAACGUUAUAAACUUUACCACAAUGCAAACUGAUUAUUUAAGGAAAUUAUUAUUGGAAACUCCAGAUGUUGCGAGAAAGGUAGGCGAAACAAUGUUUAUUUACUGUUCAUUUUGCCCCGAUAUUUAUCAAUAAUGAUGAAUUUUGCAAGCAAUAACAUUAUUUCUUUUAUUGUUUUAGAUAUUUAUUGAAGCUGAAAAUAAUUGGGGAUUUAGAUCCAUACGGAAUUCAGCCAGAAUUGGAUUUUACAGUAAAGUGCAGUCCAUCAAGUUACUAUUAUAGAUAUUUAUACAGAUCUGGUGGAGUCUCACAGUUGCUACUCUAAGCAGCAGAUGAAAGCAUACAAAAGCCUUCAGGCACAUAAAUAUUUUACAGCUGGAUUUGUUUUGAAUGGAGUAAAAAUUGUUAAUGAUUUCCUGAUUUCCAUAUUAUUGUUGGAAAGGUGAAGCAUUUCCAAAAAGCUAAUGCUAAACGACUAAAUGCUUGGGUGGGGUGAUAGCCAGUUCUGAUGACAUGGCAAAUGCACAUUGUAUGCGUAUGGCCGGUAAUAGUGAAGUCUGCAGCCAUAUUGCAGCAAUCCUAUUUUUAGCUGAGUAUGCCCAGAGCAAGACAGACGAAGAAGAACCCAAUGCAUGUACAUAUGUUACAGCUACAUGGUUUGGAGAUAGCAACAUAUGCAUUCUCUGAUGAAAAACUAAUGAGUUUUGAAACUGUGCGGUCAGAGUGCUUGUUGCGCUCACUAAACGAACUGAAAUAUAAGAUGGCUUUGGCAUUGUGUUGCAGCGAUAUGAAAAUGGUUAUUCAUUUUUAAUUAUAAUGUACUUCUUCAUCAUGAGUAAUUAUGUAUUGGUCUUUUAGAUGUGUAUUUAUUUUUGUAAUUAGUAUCAACUUGUAAUGAUAAUAUACAUUUAUCGUUUAAGGUA
RNAcentral lists this long non-coding RNA (1071 nucleotides) under Diabrotica virgifera virgifera (western corn rootworm). RNAcentral's name for it is "uncharacterized LOC126879450". The record is from RNAcentral. Lineage: Eukaryota; Metazoa; Arthropoda; Insecta; Coleoptera; Chrysomelidae.